RNAcentral lists this ribosomal RNA (433 nucleotides) under uncultured bacterium. RNAcentral describes it as "partial 16S ribosomal RNA". It matches the Rfam family "Bacterial small subunit ribosomal RNA", at positions 29 to 507 of the family's 1533-position model. The record is from RNAcentral.
AACGAACGCUGGCGGCAUGCCUAACACAUGCAAGUCGAACGAGACCUUCGGGUCUGGUGGCGCACGGGUGCGUAACGCGUGGGAACCUGCCCUUAGGUUCGGAAUAACUCCCCGAAAGGGGUGCUAAUACCGGAUAAUGUCUUCGGACCAAAGAUUUAUCGCCUUUGGAUGGGCCCGCGUUGGAUUAGCUAGUUGGUAGGGUAAAAGCCUACCAAGGCGACGAUCCAUAGCUGGUCUGAGAGGAUGAGCAGCCACACUGGGACUGAGACACGGCCCAGACUACUACGGGAGGCAGCAGUGGGGAAUAUUGGACAAUGGGCGAAAGCAUGAUGCAGCAAUGACGGGUGAGUGAUGAAGGUCUGAGGGUUGUAAAGCUCUUUUACCCGGGAUGAUAAUGACAGUACCGGGAGAAUAAGCUCCGGCUAACUCCGUG